AUGAAAAUGAUCUGUCUGGGGGUCUUUUUCAUUUUGGCAGCUUUCACAGGUGCCCAGUCCCAGGUGCAGCUGGUGGAGUCCGGAGGGGAUGUGAAAAAGCCUGGAGACUCUCUCCGCCUCUCCUGCAAAGCCUCUGGGUUCACCUUCAGCAACCACAGUAUGAACUGGGUCCGACAGGCUCCCGGGAAGGGGCUGGAGUGGGUCUCACCAGGGCUGAGUUCUUCUUCAGUCAUGAAUAACUACUCCUCCUCCAUCCAGGGGCGAUUCACAGCCUCCAAGGACAGCGCCAACUUCUACCUGCAAAUGACCAGUCUGAAGCCCGAGGACACCGCCGUGUAUUACUGUGCGAGAGACACUGACACACAGUGA
Molecule: non-coding RNA, 369 nt
Organism: Emys orbicularis (European pond turtle)
Lineage: Eukaryota; Metazoa; Chordata; Testudines; Emydidae
Source: the annotation of a RefSeq genome assembly